AUUGAACGCUGGCGGCAGGCUUAACACAUGCAAGUCGAGCGAGCGGCGGACGGGUGAGUAAUGUCUGGGAAACUGCCUGAUGGAGGGGGAUAACUACUGGAACCGGUAGCUAAUACCGCAUACCAUCAGAUGUGCCCAGAGGGGAUUAGCUAGUCGGUGGGGUAAUGGCUCACCUUGGCGACGAUCCCUAGCUGGUCUGAGAGGCUGACCGGCCACACUGGAACUGAGACACGGGCCAGACGCCUACGGGAGGAAGCAGUGGGGAAUCUUGCACAAUGGGCGCAAGCCUGAUGCAGCCAUGCCGCGUGUGUGAAGAAGGCCUUCGGGUUGUAAAGCACUGUCAUCGAGGAGGCGGUACUCGCAGAAGAAGCACCGGCUAACUCCGUGCCAGCAGCCGCGGUAAUAC
RNAcentral lists this ribosomal RNA (406 nucleotides) under uncultured bacterium. Its description in RNAcentral is "partial 16S ribosomal RNA". It matches the Rfam family "Bacterial small subunit ribosomal RNA", at positions 30 to 526 of the family's 1533-position model. The record is from RNAcentral.